Prionailurus viverrinus (fishing cat) is the source of this 639-nucleotide long non-coding RNA. RefSeq lists it as uncharacterized. NCBI's taxonomy places the organism in Eukaryota, Metazoa, Chordata, Mammalia, Carnivora, Felidae. The transcript has 5 exons. The record is from RefSeq and is a predicted model, not a curated record.
GCAGAGUUUGAAGCAGGAGUUUCCAGGGUACCCACAGUCCUGGACCUGGGAACCUCCCCACAGUGGGCGUGCAGCAUAGCUCCUGUAGUUCCACCCCCUGGAGUCCCUCCCUCCCACAUCUCCUCAGAUAUCCUGUCACCUGAGCCUGCAGUUAUUUGCUUCAGGAGUCAUGCUGUUAAGUGAAUACAUGGCGAUUCUCUUGCCCAUUCAUCAGAGGCAGUACCAGCACCUUCACAGUACCAGCCCCUCCUCAAGAGUCUUCACAGAGAGAAGGGCCACCCAGACUGUCCUGUUGCUUCCUUGGUCUCCAGAACAGCAGCUGCAAACCCACUGUUCCUGAAGCCCUCGCCCUCUGCUCCUGAGUGCUGUCCCCUACCUUCAGAGUCUUCCUCUUCGCUGCUGGAGUCUGCUAUGCUCUCCAGACACAAAUCUGAAAUUAUUUACAGGGAAUGCCUCUUGAUAAUGAAGAUCUAACAUGGUCCACCAUCAAGUUUUAUCUAAGGAUGAACAAGGACAUUACCAAGCUGGGAUUAUCUUUACUGCAUCAUAAUACCUUUUGGACCUGGAUAUCUACAUAUGUUUGUGAGAUGAGAAAAGGGAUAUAGCUCUGUCCAGAAAAAUAAAGGAGUCCAGAAUUUA